CUUUCCCUCUUUCCUUCGGCCUAACACAUGCAAGUCGAACGGCAGCACAGUAAGAGCUUGCUCUUACGGGUGGCGAGUGGCGGACGGGUGAGGAAUACAUAGGCAUCUACUUUUUCGUGGGGGAUAACGUAGGGAAACUUACGCUACUACCGCAUACGACCUACGGGUGAAAGCAGGGGAUCUUCGGACCUUGCGCGAUUGAAUGAGCCGAUGUCGGAUUAGCUAGUUGGCGGGGUAAAGGCCCACCAAGGCCACGAUCCGUAGCUGGUCUGAGAGGAUGAUCAGCCACACUGGAACUGAGACACGGUCCAGACUCCUACGGGAGGCAGCAGUGGGGAAUCUUGGACAAUGGGCGAAAGCCUGAUCCAGCCAUACCGCGUGAGUGAAGAAGGCCUUCGGGUUGUAAAGCCCUUUUGUUGGGAAAGAAAAGAAGCAGGUUAAUACCCCGCUGUUCUGACGGUACCCAAAGAAUAAGCACCGGCUAACUUCGUG
RNAcentral lists this ribosomal RNA (492 nucleotides) under uncultured bacterium. RNAcentral describes it as "partial 16S ribosomal RNA". It matches the Rfam family "Bacterial small subunit ribosomal RNA", at positions 36 to 507 of the family's 1533-position model. The record is from RNAcentral.